ACCAAGCCCACGCGCCGAGCCCGUCCUCCUCUCCGGCGUCCCGGCCGCAUUCAUGGGGCGGCGGCGGCGGCGGCGUUGUAGUUGGUGCGGCCCGCGGCGGAGGCGCUUCUCCGGCGUCCGCUCUACCCCAAUCUACCCGUGGUAGGUAGGCCGAUCUCCGGAUUGGUGAACAAUGGCAUUUCAUUUACGCUUUUAGUGUUAUGUGGUUUCGUUUGGGGACGAUUAGGAAUCUUAAGGAUGCUGCGUGUUUAGGAGGAUUUGCUCAUGUUCUUUGCUGUUGAGGUUUUGUUCGAUCCCUUCAAACUUCUAGGCAUUGAGUAGAAAUGUUUGAACCAAUGACCAACUGCAUGUUCACUAAUUUCACGAAAUAAUGCGAUGCUUUGAGCAUGGUUCAGAUGAGAUUUUCAUGGUGGUAACUGGCAAGGUGUCCACAAUCCCCAUAGCUAUGCAGAUGUCGCUUGUGUGUGCUUCAUGUAAUUGCGUUUUGAUGUGGACUAUCAUUAAGCUAUAAACAUGUGUAAAGUGGAUUGGUAACUGAUUCUAUUCUCUUGCACAUUUUCUGAUGAUUUGUCAUCUGGUGGAUACCCAAAUAAUGAGGUGCUCCCUUUUGAACUUUUUAUAUGAAGUUGCCGCUUUUGCCUCAUUUCAGCUAUACUAUAUUUUCUGUUUAUGGUUGCUAUGGGGUCCAGAGUAUACUGUGGUAUUAGCGCACCGGCUUGAUUGAAUUAAACUAUGUUAGAGAAAUAGGUCGAUGUUUAUAAUGUUUGCACUAGGAUGUACUGCUACAAAACUUGUGGAGUAGAGUAGACAAGAGGGGGAUGAUCUAGGUAGGAGAGCUCUACCUAGAAGAAACAUCAUUGACAUGAAACAUUAUUGUGAAUCAUCCAUGACAUUGUUAAAAGAAACAUCGGGCUGUAAAAGUAUUAUAAGCAUUAGAGUUGCCCUAUAAAUCUAAUUCUAUCUAAUAUAAGGAUGUUGUGGUUGUAUUUUGCCACACAGUUACUUUGGUUCUGCUAUGGUUUCAUAAUUGUUUUUCAGUGUAGACAGAUAUGAUAACCACCGUACGGAAUUAGACUACCAGAAAUCCUCUUACGUUCCGACAUUGUUAAUACCACAAUCGAUGCCAAUGCACCGAAUUCUUUGCAUAAUCUUAUUCUGCACAUAAUCAAUGCAGGUUAGAACUGCAAUCCUCCAUAAAUCAAUGAAGAAUAGUGAGUCAAACCAUAGCCAAAAUCCAAUAACAAUCCCUAUGAUUGUGGCUUAGUAAAGACCUAAAUUCAUCCUUAUUUGGUUCAGAUCCAAAUCUGGAACUUUCAAUUGGGCAUGCACUCAACACAGUUCCACAAAGCCCAUAAUCGUUGCUGUAAAUUGAUGGAUCGUUCAGUGUCUCAAGCUGGCCACCUGUGGGUGCCCUUCCUGACAGAGUGACAGGUGGUUAUUAGAGAGAUGUAAGGAGCUGAGAAAUGUUAAGCUAGAGAUGUUGGUCGUAAUAUGACCUGAAAAUGCAUUGCAAGAUAAAUCCAGGGACUCUAGGGCAUUCAUAUUGCCAAUAUCAUUUGGGAUACUGCCAGAUAUAUUAUUUCUUGAUAAUUUUAGGAACUGGAGACCCUUAAGGUUUGCAAACUCUGCAGGUAUCUCAUAAGAAAAAAUGUUGCUUGUAAAUCAAUAACUGCCAGAAGUGGAAUUGUGCUUUCAAAUGUAUAAGAUCUGCUCUUCCAAAUUAGUUCAAUUCUGUUAGAAUAUGGGGACAAAAAGUAAUUUGAAUAUGUGAACGCAACAUAUGUUGAUCCAAUGUUGAGCCUUUUGUUCUGUUGCAUCAUUGAUCUGAAGUUAGCAAAAUGUGCUGUGUGCUGGUUGAACCUACCAAUUGAUUGUCAGCUAGAUCAAGUAGCUGCAGUUGAGAAUGAUUUGAUAGUUGCCAGGGUAUGUAUCCUUCGAACAUAUUUGAGCAUAACUGAAGAAUUUUAAGAGAAGGCAAGCUUUCCCAUAUCCUUGAAGAAAUUUCAGCAGAUAGCCUAUUGUCCCGGAGAUCUACCAUUGUUAAGUUCUUGCAGAUGGGAAGACUUUUGCUUGUUGAGGUUGGGACUUUGCCAGAGAAAGCAUUGCUUGACAAAUCUAGGAAAAACAAUUGUUGAAGAUUUGACCAGCAAGUAGGGAGGUCCCCAUAGAUCUGAUUGCUUGAUAGAUCCAAGAAGUUCAGUAAAACCAAUUGACAGAACUCCUGAGGAAGCAUCCCUGUAAAUUGAUUCGAAUCGCCUGUGCAAUGUCACCAGAGAAGUGGUUUUGCCCUAUCCAAGCAUACGCCAAUUUUGGACAUGGCAGAAGCAUUCCCAACAAGUAGUUAUUUCUCACCAGCAAUUUCUGAAGCUGAAAUCCACUGCAUAGAUCAGGUGGUAAUUCCCCCAAUAAAUUGUUGUUGGACUAGUCUAGAAUAAGGAGUGCGAUGCUUUUCUAGUUCC
RNAcentral lists this small RNA (2459 nucleotides) under Oryza sativa Japonica Group (Japanese rice). Its description in RNAcentral is "sRNA Os12g0479300". Lineage: Eukaryota; Viridiplantae; Streptophyta; Magnoliopsida; Poales; Poaceae. The record is from RNAcentral.